CGGACGGGUGAGUAAUGUAUGGGGAUCUGCCUGAUGGCGGGGGAUAACUACUGGAAACGGUAGCUAAUACCGCAUAAUGUCUGCGGACCAAAGCGGGGGACCUCCGGGCCUCGCGCCAUCAGAUGAACCCAUAUGGGAUUAGCUAGUAGGUAAGGUAACGGCUUACCUAGGCGACGAUCCCUAGCUGGUCUGAGAGGAUGACCAGCCACACUGGAACUGAGACACGGUCCAG
RNAcentral lists this ribosomal RNA (232 nucleotides) under uncultured bacterium. RNAcentral describes it as "partial 16S ribosomal RNA". It matches the Rfam family "Bacterial small subunit ribosomal RNA", at positions 99 to 334 of the family's 1533-position model. The record is from RNAcentral.